CCUACGGGUGGCAGCAGUGGGGAAUAUUGCACAAUGGGGGAAACCCUGAUGCAGCGACGCCGCGUGAGUGAAGAAGUAAUUCGUUACGUAAAGCUCUAUCAGCAGGGACGAAACACUUACCUUACGGUCAGCAGACGGUACCUGAGUAAGAAGCCCCGGCUAACUACGUGCCAGCAGCCGCGGUCAUACGUAGGGGGCAAGCGUUAUCCGGAUUUACUGGGUGUAAAGGGAGCGUAGACGGUGCGCCAAGUCUGGAGUGAAAUGCCGCAGCUUAACUGCGGAACUGCUUUGGAAACUGGCGAACUAGAGUGCGGGAGGGGUAAGCGGAAUUCCUAGUGUAGCGGUGAAAUGCGUAGAUAUUAGGAGGAACACAGGUGGCGAAGGCGGCUUACUGGACCGUAACUGACGUUGAGGCUCGAAAGCGUGGGGAGCAAACAGGAGUAGAUACCCCUGUAGUC
This 458-nucleotide ribosomal RNA is filed under the name uncultured bacterium. Its description in RNAcentral is "partial 16S ribosomal RNA". It matches the Rfam family "Bacterial small subunit ribosomal RNA", at positions 338 to 795 of the family's 1533-position model. The record is from RNAcentral.